RNAcentral lists this unclassified non-coding RNA (148 nucleotides) under soil metagenome. Its description in RNAcentral is "partial internal transcribed spacer 1". The record is from RNAcentral.
UAAUAAGUGUUUUAAUGGCACUUCUUAAUCCAUAUCCACCUUGUGUGCAAUGUCAGUCGAUCUUCUUCAUGGAGAUCGACCAAACAUCAACCUUUAUCUUUUAAACUACUUUGUCUGAAAAAUUAUUAUGAAUAAACAAUUCAAAAUA